RNAcentral lists this ribosomal RNA (522 nucleotides) under uncultured bacterium. RNAcentral describes it as "bacterial SSU rRNA". It matches the Rfam family "Bacterial small subunit ribosomal RNA", at positions 977 to 1504 of the family's 1533-position model. The record is from RNAcentral.
AGGCUUGACAUGUAUCGCUAAGCUGCCGAAAGCAGUGAGCCUUCGGGCGCUUUACACAGGUGCUGCAUGGCCGUCGUCAGCUCGUGUCGUGAGAUGUUCGGUUAAGUCCGGCAACGAGCGCAACCCCUAUGAAUAGUUACUAACACGUCAUGGUGAGGACUUUAUUCAGACUGCCCAGAUCAACUGGGAGGAAGGUGGGGAUGACGUCAGGUCAGUAUGGCCCUUACGCCUAGGGCUGCACACGUACUACAAUGCUCAGUACAAUGAGAACCGAUACCGCGAGGUGGAGGAAAUCUACAGAAACUGGGCUCAGUUCGGAUUGGAGGCUGCAACUCGCCUCCAUGAAGUUGGAAUCGCUAGUAAUGGCACAUCAGCUACGGUGCCGCGAAUACGUUCCCGGGUCUUGUACACACCGCCCGUCACAUCAUGGAAGCCGAUCGCACCCGAAGUACCUGCGUCAACAAUGGCAGGGUCCUAAGGUGUAGUUGGUAACUGGGAUGAAGUCGUAACAAGGUAACCGUA